UGGUUUGUAUGAAGAAGAGGAGCAGCCGGUGGCGCGGAUCAAGGGAGAGAGCACCGGCGGCGGAGGCGAUGACGACGCGCAGAUGGGAGAGAAUUCGUGCAUUGGGAGAAGGAGGUGAGAGCACUGAGUUAGGAGGUGGCUUGGCUCGACCCAGCCAUGGAGCUAGCGUUGAGGAUUCCCCGCUGACCUACUUGGCGAGAGAUGGUGUGCUGCCGAUGGCAGCAGCCAGAACUGAAUUGGCCGUCGUGACGCCUUUAGGUAUUUUUGUCCUCCUCACCUCUCUUUCUUCCCUUCUCUUCAUGUACUCUGUUUUAUUCUACUACUCUCUGUGUCACAAAUGUUCCUGAAUUUUUCUUUGCAGUGGUUGGGUGUUUCCAAAAAACCUGAGACUAUAGCAAGAUGUAGUUCUCCACAAAUUGCUAUUAGAUGCUCUCUCUUUACCUGAUGAUUUUCUGUUUCUCUGGUUUUGAUUCCCUGAUAUUCAAUUUAUCUAAACGCCACAAUUUCUCAGAUCUGAGAGAGGAGAGGAACAGAAGAAUCCAGCAGAAGAAUUUGGUGAUAACUAGGUGACUCUCUCUCCCUCUCAUGUGAACAUGGUUCAUUUAUGAUUUGUGCUAAUGUAAAUAUGAGUUAUGCAUAUAUUGUCUCAAUGUAUUAGAAAAAUGGUGUGGUUGCGGAACAUUUGGUAGACACUUUUUUAUUCAAGAUGGAACAAGUUGUUUUGAUGUAUUUUGUUACCGAUAUUCCUGUAAAUGGCUUACACACUUUGUUUUGUUAUAAUGUAAACAUAUGGGUGUAUGGUUAUCGGAAUUCAGAGGUCCUGCGAUAGCAUCAAGAGCCUCUCUGGUUUUGAUUUUCUGAUAUAAAAUUUAAUCUUUAC
Molecule: long non-coding RNA, 880 nt
Filed under: Triticum aestivum (bread wheat)
Lineage: Eukaryota; Viridiplantae; Streptophyta; Magnoliopsida; Poales; Poaceae
Description: long non-coding RNA (TAES_LNC010689)
Source: RNAcentral